GGUGAUGUAACUCAGUGGUAGAGCACUUGACUAGCACGCGUGAUGCCCUGGGUUUGGUCCCCAGCAACACCA
Molecule: transfer RNA, 72 nt
Filed under: Mesocricetus auratus (golden hamster)
Lineage: Eukaryota; Metazoa; Chordata; Mammalia; Rodentia; Cricetidae
Rfam family: tRNA
About the family: Transfer RNA (tRNA) molecules are approximately 80 nucleotides in length. Their secondary structure includes four short double-helical elements and three loops (D, anti-codon, and T loops).
Source: Rfam by way of RNAcentral